Molecule: long non-coding RNA, 1692 nt
Organism: Xenopus tropicalis (tropical clawed frog)
Lineage: Eukaryota; Metazoa; Chordata; Amphibia; Anura; Pipidae
Exons: 2
Source: RefSeq, a predicted model, not a curated record
UAAAAAAGAUCUUGUUUAUUUUACAGUAUGUACAGUCAUUAAUGUAUCCAAAAAGCUUUACCACAUCAAGAAUUUACAUCAUACAUCACUUAGAGCCAAUUUGUCUGAUUAGUGUUUGAAUUCACAACAAAAUAUGCAGAAAACAUUUGUUUUGUUUAGAAAAUGCAUUGUACAAGUCAUGGGAUCUACCUGAUGCACUGUAUGUUCCCGUCUCGCCCUAAAUUCUAACGGGGGUGGCUGUAUGUUUUAUAUGGAGGACUGCAGUAAGGUCCACAUCCAAUAAUUACUUCUGCUGCUAUCCUUUCCAGUUCGUUUGUCUCUGCUAGAGACCUGUAUAUCAUUGCCUCAAGCAGCGAAUGGCCAAUAUAUAAGCAACAAACCUAAAGGGCAAGUACAGAUCUAUUUAGGGUGUGGUACGGGGAAAAGAUCUGCCUGGAUUGGAUUUCUCACACAGUAACAGCUUCACAACCCAAACUACAUUUGUGUUGGCAAAACAGACAUCCAACUGGCAACCCUUAAUGUAUGUGAUGUACCCCAUGUACACUUCUGCUUCCUGCAGCACCACAACACAGCAUUCAGUAUAUAUGGGAACUAUAUAUACCUGCCUUUCAUCCUCUCUAUUCUUUCUCUAUAAGAAGCUUACGCUGACCUUUAUGAUACAAUUCAUGUCCUGUUUUAUCUGGUUGACAAGGAAUGAAGAACCAUAAAUAUAUCAUCUUAGUAUUGCCCCCUGGUGCAUUAGGCUGCCAAAACGCUGGGAGAGCUGCUCCUUUGGCAAGGUCUGUGAAUGAGCAGAUCUUAGCAACCCAGCUGUUCCAAUUGAUUAGAUCACAUAUGGGGGCCUGUGCAGACUCAACAGGUAAGGGUGCAGAUGUAGUCAUCUGAAUGAAAUGUGGCUGAGUCUUAAAUAAGGGUUAGUGAGGCCCUUGUCUUAUGAGCCCCUUGUCUUAUGAGCCAAUAAGCUGCAGAUUGCCAAGAGUGGCCAAGUCAGCCGGCUGUAUCAGCCUAUGUAUGCCCAGCUUUAUACCUUACUGUAGGAGCAAGUACCUUAUGUGCUGGAAAUGCGGCAUUCACAAGGGAAGAACAUCACUUUCUCCUAAGUAACAGCAAACACAAAUAUCCAUUUUUAAGAGGGAGAAACACUUCCUUAAAAGGUUGGAUUUACUUCCUGGAAGUAUUUAUGAACUGCAUCUGCCGAUUUGUUUUUUUUCAGAUACAUUUGAUAAUUUCUACUUAUAUUACUGAAACAGUUUAAUAGUGUGCUUUCGCAACCUAACCUGCUGCAAACAACUUCCAAUGCUUUUUGGCAAAUGAAAUUCCAAAUCACAGACUUGGGUGGGGCCAGUUUGUGAGAUCAGGGGUAUCACUAUCUGACACAAUUGUAUUGUACAACCAUGCAACCAUUUGGGGACUCACAGAGCAAUAACUAUAGAAGUAGCCAUGCCUCAGAUAUGGGAAUCAGCUGAUUUGCACAGCAAUAUUAUUCCCAUUUAUCCUUCAUUACUCUUUCAGUUCUUGACCAAUUAAAGGUCUCAAGUGCCUUAUCAGGCAAAUCAGUUACCUCUGUCUCACUGUGCCUGACUGAGUUGCUGGUUGGAGCUAAUCAUGUGUGGGUUAAUGACAGUCUCAGCAAAUAGCUUUAAAGGACAAGUCAAGCCCAAAAAUAAUUUUUUGCCUAAUAAAAGUAGACCA